RNAcentral lists this ribosomal RNA (265 nucleotides) under uncultured bacterium. Its description in RNAcentral is "partial 16S ribosomal RNA". It matches the Rfam family "Bacterial small subunit ribosomal RNA", at positions 1227 to 1500 of the family's 1533-position model. The record is from RNAcentral.
ACAAUGGCAGGUACAGCGGGAAGCCACCUGGCGACAGGGCGCGGAACCCGAAAACCUGUCUCAGUUCGGAUUGGAGUCUGCAACCCGACUCCGUGAAGCUGGAUUCGCUAGUAAUCGCGCAUCAGCCAUGGCGCGGUGAAUACGUUCCCGGGCCUUGUACACACCGCCCGUCAAGCCAUGGAAGCCGGGGGCGCUUGAAGUGCGUUGCCGCAAGGCGCGCCCUAGAGCGAAACCGGUGACUGGGGCUAAGUCGUAACAAGGUAAC